CUCAACCGUCGGCUAUCUGGGGAUACUGGCGGGCUUGAGGCCGGGAGAGGUCAGAGGUACUCCUGGGGUAGGGGUAAAAUCCGAUAAUCCUGGGGGGACCACCAGUGGCGAAGGCGUCUGACUGGAACGGGCCUGACGGUGAGGGACGAAACCCUGGGGAGCGAUCCGGAUUAGAUACCCGGGUAGUCCAGGGCGUAAACGAUGUGGGCUGGGUGUGGGUCAAUCAGAAGGAUUGAUCUGUGCCGAAGCGAAAGCGAUAAGUCCACCGCCUGGGGAGUACGGUCGCAAGGCUGAAACUUAAAGGAAUUGGCGGGGGGGGCACCACAAUGGGUGGAGCCUGCGGUCUAAUUGGAUUCAACGCCGGGAAUCUUACCGGGUGCGACAGCUGGAUGAAGGCCAGGCUGAUGACCUUGCUCAACGAGCUGAGAGGAGGUGCAUGGCCGUCGUCAGUUCGUACUGUGAAGCGUCCUGUUAAGUCAGGCAACGAACGAGAUCCACGCCCACUGUUGCCAGCGCGCCCUCUGGGGUGGCGGGUACACGGUGGGGACCGCUGGUGCUAAACCAGAGGAAGGAAUGGGCAACGGUAGGUCAGUACGCCCCGAAUCUCCCGGGCUACACGCGUGCUACAAUGGUUGGACAAUGGGUAUGACCCUGAAGGGGAAGGAAAUUCCUAAACCCAACCUUAGUUGG
Molecule: ribosomal RNA, 690 nt
Filed under: uncultured archaeon
Lineage: Archaea
Description: bacterial SSU rRNA
Rfam family: Archaeal small subunit ribosomal RNA
Source: RNAcentral